GCUGGAUGUGGUGGCGCACACCUAUAAUCCCAGCAACUCUGGGGCUGAGGCAGGAGGAUCACAAGUUUGAGGACAGCCUGGGAAAUUUAGCAAGACCCUGUCUCAA
This 106-nucleotide small RNA is filed under the name Marmota monax (woodchuck). Lineage: Eukaryota; Metazoa; Chordata; Mammalia; Rodentia; Sciuridae. The record is from RNAcentral.